Molecule: ribosomal RNA, 735 nt
Filed under: uncultured bacterium
Lineage: Bacteria
Description: bacterial SSU rRNA
Rfam family: Bacterial small subunit ribosomal RNA
Source: RNAcentral
GCAAGUCGAGCGGAGUUGUGGUGCUUGCACCAUAACUUAGCGGCGGACGGGUUAGUAAUGCUUAGGAAUCUGCCCAUUAGUGGGGGACAACCUUUCGAAAGGAAUGCUAAUACCGCAUACGCCCUACGGGGGAAAGCAGGGGAUCUUCGGACCUUGUGCUAAUAGAUGAGCCUAAGUCGGAUUAGCUAGUUGGUGGGGUAAAGGCCUACCAAGGCGACGAUCUGUAGCGGGUCUGAGAGGAUGAUCCGCCACACUGGGACUGAGACACGGCCCAGACUCCUACGGGAGGCAGCAGUGGGGAAUAUUGGACAAUGGGCGCAAGCCUGAUCCAGCCAUGCCGCGUGUGUGAAGAAGGCCUUUUGGUUGUAAAGCACUUUAAGCGAGGAGGAGGCUCCUAUAGUUAAUACCUAUAGAGAGUGGACGUUACUCGCAGAAUAAGCACCGGCUAACUCUGUGCCAGCAGCCGCGGUAAUACAGAGGGUGCAAGCGUUAAUCGGAUUUACUGGGCGUAAAGCGUGCGUAGGCGGCUUUUUAAGUCGGAUGUGAAAUCCCUGAGCUUAACUUAGGAAUUGCAUUCGAUACUGGGAAGCUAGAGUAUGGGAGAGGAUGGUAGAAUUCCAGGUGUAGCGGUGAAAUGCGUAGAGAUCUGGAGGAAUACCGAUGGCGAAGGCAGCCAUCUGGCCUAAUACUGACGCUGAGGUACGAAAGCAUGGGGAGCAAACAGGAUUAGAUACC